AUUGAACGCUGGCGGCAGGCCUAACACAUGCAAGUCGAACGGUAACAGGAAGACGCUUGCUUCUUUGCUGACGAGUGGCGGACGGGUGAGUAAUGUCUGGGAAACUGCCUGAUGGAGGGGGAUAACUACUGGAAACGGUAGCUAAUACCGCAUAACGUCGCAAGACCAAAGAGGGGGACCUUCGGGCCUCUUGCCAUCGGAUGUGCCCAGAUGGGAUUAGCUAGUAGGUGGGGUAACGGCUCACCUAGGCGACGAUCCCUAGCUGGUCUGAGAGGAUGACCAGCCACACUGGAACUGAGACACGGUCCAGACUCCUACGGGAGGCAGCAGUGGGGAAUAUUGCACAAUGGGCGCAAGCCUGAUGCAGCCAUGCCGCGUGUAUGAAGAAGGACUUCGGGUUGUAAAGUACUUUCAGCGGGGAGGAAGGGAGUAAAGUUAAUACCUUUGCUCAUUGACGUUACCCGCAAAAGAAGCACCGGCUAACUCCGUG
RNAcentral lists this ribosomal RNA (490 nucleotides) under uncultured bacterium. RNAcentral's name for it is "partial 16S ribosomal RNA". It matches the Rfam family "Bacterial small subunit ribosomal RNA", at positions 30 to 507 of the family's 1533-position model. The record is from RNAcentral.